This 487-nucleotide ribosomal RNA is filed under the name Uroteuthis sp. 3N JATM-2019. RNAcentral's name for it is "partial 16S ribosomal RNA". It matches the Rfam family "Bacterial large subunit ribosomal RNA", at positions 1863 to 2588 of the family's 2925-position model. The record is from RNAcentral. Lineage: Eukaryota; Metazoa; Mollusca; Cephalopoda; Myopsida; Loliginidae.
UCGGUGAAACGUUUUAACAGCUGCGGUAUUUUAACUGUACUAAGGUAGCAUAAUAAUUUGCCUUAUAAUUUGAGGCUAGAAUGAAUGGUUUGACGAAGGUUAAUCUGUCUCCACUUUAUUUUUUAGAAAUUAAUUUUCAUAGUGAAAAAGCUUGAAUUUUUUAAGGGGACGAGAAGACCCUACUGAGCUUAUAAUUUUAUUAAAACAUAUAUUCAUAUAUAUUGUGUUAUAUAAAUUUUAAUUGGGGUGAUUAAGGAAUAAUAUUAUUAUUAUUAUAUAUGUAACUUCCUUAGAAAUAUUAUAUUGUUGAAUAAAGUAACCGAUAAAUUAAUAUAAUUAUUAUGUAUUGCUUAUAAUAUAGUUACCAUAGGGAUAACAGCGUAAUUUACUUAGAGAGUUCUUAUUGAAAAGUAAGAUUGCGACCUCGAUGUUGGAUUAAAGUAACCUUAAGGUGCAGAAGCUUUAUGGGGUAAAUCUGUUCGAUUUU